CCAAUAGCGUAUAUUAAAGUUGUUGCAGUUAAAAAGCUCGUAGUUGAAUUUCGGGAUCAGUAUGUUGGUCGUGCUUCGGUACGUACUGUCAUUACUGGUUUCUCCCUUCUGAAGAACCUUGAUGUCAUUAAUUUGGUGUCUUGGGGAAUCAGGACUGUUACUUUGAAAAAAUUAGAGUGUUUAAAGCAAGCAUACGCUUGAAUACAUUAGCAUGGAAUAAUGAAAUAGGACGUUUGAUUCUAUUUUGUUGGUUUUUAGGAUCGACGUAAUGAUUAAUAGGGAUAGUUGGGGGCAUUAGUAUUCAAUUGUCAGAGGUGAAAUUCUUGGAUUUAUUGAAGACUAACUACUGCGAAAGCAUUUGCCAAGGAUGUUUUCAUUAAUCAAGAACGAAAGUUAGGGGAUCGAAGACGAUCAGAUACCGUCGUAGUCUUAACCAUAAACUAUGCCGACUAGGGAUCGGAUGAUGUUAAUUUUUUAAUGACUCAUUCGGCGCCUUACG
Molecule: ribosomal RNA, 499 nt
Filed under: uncultured Glomeromycotina
Lineage: Eukaryota; Fungi; Glomeromycota
Description: partial small subunit ribosomal RNA
Rfam family: Eukaryotic small subunit ribosomal RNA
Source: RNAcentral